Molecule: ribosomal RNA, 514 nt
Filed under: Chondrocyclus trifimbriatus
Lineage: Eukaryota; Metazoa; Mollusca; Gastropoda; Architaenioglossa; Cyclophoridae
Description: partial 16S ribosomal RNA
Rfam family: Bacterial large subunit ribosomal RNA
Source: RNAcentral
GGCUUUUUGUAAAUAUAAAAAGUCGUUACCUGCCCAGUGUAAAUAAUAAUAAUAAACGGCCGCAGUACCCUGACUGUGCUAAGGUAGCAUAAUAAUUUGCCUCUUAAUUGGUGGAUGGAAUGAAUGGUUUGACGAAAACAUAGCUGUCUCUAAUAUAUUACAUAUAAUUUAUCUUUUAGGUUAAAAUACCUAAAUUAAAUUGAGGGACGAGAAGACCCUAUUGAAUUUUAAAAAAAUAUUAUAAUAAAUCUAUUAUUAAAAUUUAUUUAUUAAAGUAAAAUUUUGGUUGGGGCAACCAAGGAACAAAAAAAGCUUCCUACUCAAUAAAAAAUAACUGUUAUUAGAUCCAGCAAUACGAAAUGCUGAUAAUAGGAAUUAAUUACCAUAGGGAUAACAGCGUAAUUUUUCUUGAGAGAUCUAAUCGAAAGAAAAGCUUGCGACCUCGAUGUUGGAUUAGGAUUCUUAAAGGGUUGUAGGAGCUCUUAUAAUUGGUCUGUUCGACCAUUAAAAUCCU